This is a long non-coding RNA of Dipodomys spectabilis (banner-tailed kangaroo rat), 586 nucleotides long. RefSeq lists it as uncharacterized. The transcript has 3 exons. Lineage: Eukaryota; Metazoa; Chordata; Mammalia; Rodentia; Heteromyidae. The record is from RefSeq and is a predicted model, not a curated record.
GAUUUUGUGUGCUUUAGAAACCAUUACACCUUUCUACUUUGGAAAAACCAAGUGUUAAGGAAGCAAGGAUGAAAUCCAAUAUUCCUUACAAUAAUAAUAAUAAUCAUAAUAAAAAUUCUGAGAGGCAAUUUCAAGGGAAGCAAAACUCAAGAAUGAAGAAUGCUGUAGUACAAAAUUAUGGCCAAAAAUACUGUAUUUUUAACCAGCAAGAUCAUUGGGGGCAUUAUUAUACAACAUUAGGUGUUUUUUGCAAAACUAGUUCCCAUCCCCAAACAAUAGACAAUACAUGCAUUUGAAUGACACUUUAAGAACAGUAAAUAUGAUUCUUUUUAAAUACUGCAAGUUAAAAAUGUUUUGUGACAAAACUCCCUAAAUACAUAGGUCUAGUUAGGGCUUCCAACACAAUGAAGGGAGGAUGCGGAAGCUGCAUUUAGGGUUCUUUGCAGAAAAGAAAUCCACCCCAAACAAGUUCCAAUCAAAGCCAUGUGGACCGAGUUACACAGUCAUUUCCCACUUGCCUUUCUCAAACCUGAAAAAGUGUUCGACUAAGGAAUAACUUUCCUGUAAUAAUUUUCUCCUAUGGAAA